GCGAUCAGACACCACCGUAUUCCCGGCCGUAAACGGUGCCGCCCCGCGGCCGGCGCGCGCGUCCCGCCGGCCGCCCAGGGAAACCGGGAGGCUCCGGGCUCUGGGGGGAGUAUGGCCGCAAGGCUGAAACUUGAAGGCAUUGACGGAGGGGUACCACCAGACGUGGAGUCUGCGGCUCAAUCUGACUCAACGCGCGCACCUCACCAGGCCCGGACGCGCGGAGGACCGACAGCCGGGCGCGCUUUCGCGAUCGCGCGGGCGGUGGUGCAUGGCCGCUCCCAGCCCGUGGCGCGAGCCGUCUGCUCCAUUGCGACAACGGGCGAGACCCCGGCCGCGGGCGCCGCGGGACGGCCCGCGCGAGCGGGAGGACGGCGGGGCGAUAGCAGGUCUGUGAUGCCCUCAGACGCCCUGGGCCGCACGCGCGCUACACUGGCGGGGCCAGCCGGCGCCCGCGAGGACGCGCGGAGCCCCCGCCGUGGCCGGGACCGCGGGCUGGAACGCCCCCGCGCACCAGGAAUGUCUUGUAGGCGCC
This 532-nucleotide ribosomal RNA is filed under the name Giardia duodenalis. Its description in RNAcentral is "SSU rRNA". It matches the Rfam family "Eukaryotic small subunit ribosomal RNA", at positions 1004 to 1625 of the family's 1831-position model. The record is from RNAcentral. Lineage: Eukaryota; Fornicata; Diplomonadida; Hexamitidae.